RNAcentral lists this small nuclear RNA (79 nucleotides) under Canis lupus familiaris (dog). RNAcentral's name for it is "U4 spliceosomal RNA". It matches the Rfam family "U4 spliceosomal RNA", at positions 1 to 79 of the family's 138-position model. Rfam says of the family: U4 small nuclear RNA (U4 snRNA) is a component of the major U2-dependent spliceosome. The structure of U4 snRNA from yeast and human has been reported. U4 snRNA presents a k-turn RNA motif in the 5p-SL related to recognition of Snu13 protein. Lineage: Eukaryota; Metazoa; Chordata; Mammalia; Carnivora; Canidae. The record is from Rfam by way of RNAcentral. RNAcentral also lists the same sequence under 1 other name.
AGCUUUGCGCAGUGACAUUAUCGUAGCCAAUGAGGUUUAUCUGAGGCGUGAUUAUUGCUAAUUGAAAACUUUUCAAGUA